Molecule: small RNA, 616 nt
Filed under: Pan troglodytes (chimpanzee)
Lineage: Eukaryota; Metazoa; Chordata; Mammalia; Primates; Hominidae
Description: processed transcript
Source: RNAcentral
CAGCUGCGGGCCGUGGUACCCCAGAUAGACAUGGAAGGGGAUCGCAACAUCUGGAUCGUGAAGCCAGGAGCCAAGUCCCGCGGACGAGGCAUCAUGUGCAUGGACCACCUGGAGGAGAUGCUGAAGCUGGUGAACGGCAACCCCGUGGUGAUGAAGGACGGCAAGUGGGUGGUGCAGAAGUAUAUUGAGCGGCCCCUCCUCAUCUUUGGCACCAAGUUUGACCUCAGACAGUGGUUCCUGCUCAGUGCACCUGUGCAACAACUCCAUCCAGAAGCACCUGGAGAACUCAUGCCAUCGGCAUCCACUGCUUCCGCCAGACAACAUGUGGUCUAGCCGGAGGUUCCAGGCCCACCUGCAGGAGAUGGGUGCCCCAAAUGCUUGGUCCACCAUCAUCGUGCCUGGCAUGAAGGAUGCUGUGAUCCACGCACUUCAGACCUCCCAGGACACCGUGCAGUGUCGGAAGGCCAGCUUUGAGCUCUAUGGCGCUGACUUCGUGUUCGGGGAGGACUUCCAGCCCUGGCUGAUUGAGAUCAACGCCAGCCCCACGAUGGCACCCUCCACAGCAGUCACUGCCCGGCUCUGUGCUGGCGUGCAAGCUGACACCCUGCGCGUGGUC